This is a long non-coding RNA of Triticum aestivum (bread wheat), 1079 nucleotides long. RefSeq lists it as uncharacterized. NCBI's taxonomy places the organism in Eukaryota, Viridiplantae, Streptophyta, Magnoliopsida, Poales, Poaceae. The record is from RefSeq and is a predicted model, not a curated record. The transcript has 2 exons.
CGGCCUUGGGCCAUGGCGGCGAGUGCGACGGCCUAGGGCCCAGCACGAGCAGGGGCCCAUACCCUAUGCGUGCAUACAAUACACAGUAUAUUCAUAGAAAGAAAAAUUAUACGCAGGACAAACAGCCCAGCCCAUGAAGAAGCGAGCAGCAACGCACGAACGAAGCCAACAAUCCCGUUCGCUCCCAGUCCCAGAAACACGCCGCCAGCCGCCAACUCAUCGUCUCCCUCUCGUUCUCAUCCUCUUCCCCAAAUCCAAUUGAUUGCCCCGAGUUCCUAUGAGGCCAGAACCCCAACUCCCCAAGCUAAUCAAUGAAUUGUUCAUUAGUAUCACACUUCAGUGUAUUUCUUUGCAUCCUACAAAUACCCCAAGGGCCCCGGCGAACGGAUCCAGAGAGGCGAGCCGGCCAGCGACGACACACCCUGUGCCCUGGCAGGAACACGGAGAGUAGCAGCCGGCAGACGGUCAUCGAUAGUUGGGGCUGUGGUCCGCCUGUCCGGCAGUGGAGAGCGGAGACGUGGAGUCCAGGCAACUCCUCUGUGGAGCAGCGUUGGAUUUCUUCUAUUUGCUCCAAGAGACCAAGAACAGGAUUCGUGAAGACAAGAAUUCAGGUGUUCUCUCUCCUUUUAACUGUUCCUUUUUCAAAACUUAAAUCACUAAAGAACUAUUUGAGAUCAACCAUGUCACUAGAUAGAUUGAAUGGCUUGGCCAUGGUGCUUUAUUGAGAAAGAUACGUCGGAUAACAUUGAUCUUGACACUAUUAUUAGUGAUUUUCCAUCCAGAAAUACUCGAAGGUGUCGUUUUUCUUGAGUAUGCCAUUCACUUCUUUUUUGUGUAUUUGUCAGGUGGCUCCUGAUAUUUGCUGAUGCGCGUUUGUGGUUGGACUGGUAGAGUUGGAAUUGUAGCUUCUAUCGAAUUGGAUCAAGAAUUUGAGAACAAUGUCACAUAUAUAUUUAGUUAAGAAUUAAGACAGGACUUCUAGGUUGUUGGAGCGUGUAUCCUAAUAAUCCUAUAAUCAUCUGAUAUAUCCGUGGACCGUGGUGUAUUAAGACCAUAUGUGCUAGUGAAUUUUACUUUUA